UCUCAUCCCAUAACGGAGUCCCGA
This 24-nucleotide microRNA is filed under the name Drosophila pseudoobscura. RNAcentral's name for it is "dps-miR-2573-3p". The record is from miRBase by way of RNAcentral. Lineage: Eukaryota; Metazoa; Arthropoda; Insecta; Diptera; Drosophilidae.